This 377-nucleotide small RNA is filed under the name Histoplasma capsulatum. RNAcentral describes it as "hypothetical RNA". RNAcentral also lists the same sequence under 1 other name. Lineage: Eukaryota; Fungi; Ascomycota; Eurotiomycetes; Onygenales; Ajellomycetaceae. The record is from RNAcentral.
UUUACAUUUGAUGAAUGCUAGUAUGGACACUAGGAAUGGUAUGGGUCUUGGCUACAUGAGCUGUGUGCUCUUGCUCAAACCAUUAUUGCCCUGAGAAUCAAUCGAAAUACUCCGCCUGCGCAUGGAACAAAAAACUUUUGCUAGCUCCAUGCAUUUGGGGGGAAGCAAGAUCUGGGAAGUCCGCCUGGGAAUUUACUCUUAUUUAUCUUUUUCAAAAGGCAAAAGCAAGCAAUGUUACAGAAACAAGUGUAAAUCACAGCAAUUUAACAUUUACUGGUGUUGGUAUAUCUGCGCUGUACAACUGAUUAUGACUAUUACUAUCUCCCAAUUCCCAAGCGCUGCCAUUAUUGUACUCAUGGAUUCGGCCCUUUAUUUAU